This is a long non-coding RNA of Lolium rigidum, 229 nucleotides long. RefSeq lists it as uncharacterized. Lineage: Eukaryota; Viridiplantae; Streptophyta; Magnoliopsida; Poales; Poaceae. The record is from RefSeq and is a predicted model, not a curated record. The transcript has 4 exons.
UGCCGUCGCCCGCCGAAUCCUGCCCCCCACUCCCGGCUCCUCCGACCAGAGGUCCACGGUGGAGGUCGUCGGCCGCAAGGCGCACGGAGCCGUCCCGCAGCCUGGAAGCGUAGUCAUUGCCCGUGAACCGCCGCAGGAACAAGCUACCCGCCUCUCCGACCUCGUCUUCACCGCUCACUCCUCCAGAAGCUCAAGAUGACGUACUAUGUCGUCUACCACGGCGGGGUUC